GAACGCUAGCGGCAGGCUUAACACAUGCAAGUCGAGGGGUAGAGUUCUUCGGAAUUUGAGACCGGCGCACGGGUGCGUAACGCGUAUGCAAUCUACCUUUUACAGAGGGAUAGCCCAGAGAAAUUUGGAUUAAUACCUCAUAGUAUAUAGACCUGGCAUCAGGAUUAUAUUAAAGUCACAACGGUAAAAGAUGAGCAUGCGUCCCAUUAGCUAGUUGGUAAGGUAACGGCUUACCAAGGCUACGAUGGGUAGGGGUCCUGAGAGGGAGAUCCCCCACACUGGUACUGAGACACGGACCAGACUCCUACGGGAGGCAGCAGUGAGGAAUAUUGGACAAUGGGCGCAAGCCUGAUCCAGCCAUGCCGCGUGCAGGAUGACGGUCCUAUGGAUUGUAAACUGCUUUUAUACGAGAAGAAACACUGGUUCGUGAACCAGCUUGACGGUAUCGUAGGAAUAAGGAUCGGCUAACUCCGUGCAGCAGCCGCGGUAAUACGGAGGAUCCAAGCGUUAUCCGGAAUCAUUGGGUUUAAAGGGUCCGUAGGCGGUUUGGUAAGUCAGUGGUGAAAGCCCAUCGCUCAACGGUGGAACGGCCAUUGAUACUGCCAGACUUGAAUUAUUAGGAAGUAACUAGAAUAUGUAGUGUAGCGGUGAAAUGCUUA
RNAcentral lists this ribosomal RNA (659 nucleotides) under uncultured soil bacterium. Its description in RNAcentral is "bacterial SSU rRNA". It matches the Rfam family "Bacterial small subunit ribosomal RNA", at positions 31 to 692 of the family's 1533-position model. The record is from RNAcentral.